RNAcentral lists this unclassified non-coding RNA (317 nucleotides) under uncultured soil eukaryote. Its description in RNAcentral is "sequence contains 5.8S rRNA gene, ITS2, 28S rRNA gene". The record is from RNAcentral.
AACGCAUAUUGCGCCCGAAGCUUCGGCUUAGGGCAUGCCUGCCUCAGCGUCGUUUUGACACCCUCGCUCCACACUAUCCAGUGAAGCAAUCUGACUUGUUUCAGUUGCUUGGGAGCGGAACUGACUCUCCCAUGGCUACGUGCCGUGGGUUAGUUGAAACACAGGGCACGAGCAAGGAACACAUACGCUCCAACUGGACAGGUUCGCAUUGUAUGCGCAACACGAAGUUGAAGCGUGAUCUUUUUAAGUGCCAAGCAGGACGCCAUUAAUUUGGUAUGUUUGACCUGAGCUCAGGCAAGAUUACCCGCUGAACUUAA